GAUUUCCACGGCUCGUCUGAAAUGCCUGAGUAUACCCCAUUUUGCGGCGUAUUCGGUGUGAUACAUCUUCACCGGAGUUGAUCCUUUCGGGUCGCGUCUGUAUGAGUGUGGCUCUAUGCUUCCAACCGUCCCUUUAUAAGGACAAUCUCUUGACAAUUUGACCUCAAAUCGGGUGGGACUACCCGCUGAACUUAAGCAUAUCAAUAAGCGGAGGAAAAGAAACUAACAAGGAUUCCCCUAGUAACGGCGAGUGAAGAGGGAAAAGCUCAAAUUUUGAAUCUGGUGUCUUUGACUCCCGAGUUGUAAUCUAGAGAAGUGUUUUCCGUGUCGGACCAUGCACAAGUUCCCUGGAACGGGGCGUCAUAGAGGGUGAGAAUCCCGUAUAUGGCAUGGACUGCCGAUGCUCUGUGAUACACUCUCAACGAGUCGAGUUGUUUGGGAAUGCAGCUCAAAAUGGGUGGUAAAUUCCAUCUAAAGCUAAAUAUUGGCGAGAGACCGAUAGCGAACAAGUACCGUGAGGGAAAGAUGAAAAGCACUUUGGAAAGAGAGUGAAACAGUACGUGAAAUUGUUGAAAGGGAAGCGUUUGAAGUCAGUCAUGUCUGGCGGGAUUCAACUUGGGCUUCUGCCCGGUGUACUUUCCGUCCGAUGGGUCAGCAUCAAUUUCGACCGAGGGAAAAAGAUGUGGGGAAUGUGGCUGUCUUCGGGCAGUGUUAUAGCCCCGCAUUGUAUGCCUCGGUUGGGAUUGAGGAACGCAGCGCGCCUAUAGGCCAGGGGCUACCCGCCUCUUGACACGCGCUUAGGAUGCUGGCAUAAUGGCUUUAAGCGACCCGUCUUGAA
This 838-nucleotide ribosomal RNA is filed under the name uncultured Sebacinales. RNAcentral's name for it is "eukaryotic LSU rRNA". The stretch from base 159 to 838 matches the Rfam family "Eukaryotic large subunit ribosomal RNA", at positions 1 to 658 of the family's 3401-position model. The record is from RNAcentral. Lineage: Eukaryota; Fungi; Basidiomycota; Agaricomycetes; Sebacinales.